This 610-nucleotide ribosomal RNA is filed under the name fungal sp. Its description in RNAcentral is "eukaryotic LSU rRNA". The stretch from base 146 to 299 matches the Rfam family "5.8S ribosomal RNA". Lineage: Eukaryota; Fungi. The record is from RNAcentral.
CAUUACUGAGUUUUUAACUCUCCAAACCAUGUGAACUUACCACUGUUGCCUCGGUGGUCGGUGCUGGAAACAGUGCUGCCACCGGUGGACUACUAAACUCUUGUUAAUUUUUGUCAAAUCUGAAUCAAACUAAGAAAUAAGUUAAAACUUUCAACAACGGAUCUCUUGGUUCUGGCAUCGAUGAAGAACGCAGCGAAAUGCGAUAAGUAAUGUGAAUUGCAGAAUUCAGUGAAUCAUCGAAUCUUUGAACGCACAUUGCGCCCAUUAGUAUUCUAGUGGGCAUGCCUGUUCGAGCGUCAUUUCAACCCUUAAGCCUAGCUUAGUGUUGGGAGACUGCCUAAUACGCAGCUCCUCAAAACCAGUGGCGGAGUCUGUUCGUGCUCUGAGCGUAGUAAUUUUUUAUCUCGCUUCUGCAAGCCGGCCAGACGACAGCCAUAAACCGCACCCUCUCGGGGGGCACUUUUUUAAUGGUUGACCUCGGAUCAGGUAGGAAUACCCGCUGAACUUAAGCAUAUCAAUAAGCGGAGGAAAAGAAACCAACAGGGAUUGCCCUAGUAACGGCGAGUGAAGCGGCAACAGCUCAAAUUUGAAAUCUGGCCUUCUGGUCCGA